RNAcentral lists this ribosomal RNA (253 nucleotides) under uncultured bacterium. RNAcentral's name for it is "partial 16S ribosomal RNA". It matches the Rfam family "Bacterial small subunit ribosomal RNA", at positions 524 to 776 of the family's 1533-position model. The record is from RNAcentral.
UACGGAGGGUGCAAGCGUUGCUCGGAAUUAUUGGGCGUAAAGGGUAGGUAGGUGGUCUCAUUUGUCUGGGGUGAAAGCCUUGAGCUUAACUCAAGAAGUGCCCCAGAAACGGUGAGACUAGAGUCCUGGAGAGGGUCGUGGAAUUCCUGGUGUAGCGGUGAAAUGCGCAGAUAUCAGGAGGAACACCAGCGGCGAAGGCGGCGCUCUGGGCCGGAACUGACGCUGAGGAGCGAAAGCGUGGGUAGCAAACAGG